RNAcentral lists this ribosomal RNA (497 nucleotides) under uncultured bacterium. RNAcentral's name for it is "partial 16S ribosomal RNA". It matches the Rfam family "Bacterial small subunit ribosomal RNA", at positions 28 to 507 of the family's 1533-position model. The record is from RNAcentral.
GACGAACGCUGGCGGCGUGCCUAAUACAUGCAAGUAGAACGCUGAAGAGAGGAGCUUGCUCUUCUUGGAUGAGUUGCGAACGGGUGAGUAACGCGUAGGUAACCUGCCUUGUAGCGGGGGAUAACUAUUGGAAACGAUAGCUAAUACCGCAUAACAAUGGAUGACACAUGUCAUUUAUUUGAAAGGGGCAAUUGCUCCACUACAAGAUGGACCUGCGUUGUAUUAGCUAGUAGGUGAGGUAAUGGCUCACCUAGGCGACGAUACAUAGCCGACCUGAGAAGGUGAUCGGCCACACUGGGACUGAGACACGGCCCAGACUCCUACGGGAGGCAGCAGUAGGGAAUCUUCGGCAAUGGGGGCAACCCUGACCGAGCAACGCCGCGUGAGUGAAGAAGGUUUUCGGAUCGUAAAGCUCUGUUGUAAGUCAAGAACGGGUGUGAGAGUGGAAAGUUCACACUGUGACGGUAGCUUACCAGAAAGGGACGGCUAACUACGUG